This 256-nucleotide long non-coding RNA is filed under the name Vitis vinifera (wine grape). Its description in RNAcentral is "long non-coding RNA (VVIN_LNC001063)". The record is from RNAcentral. Lineage: Eukaryota; Viridiplantae; Streptophyta; Magnoliopsida; Vitales; Vitaceae.
GCUUUUAAGCUUGGACUUAGAUAAAUUUCUCCCCUAUUUCACCUUUCUCUCCACAUUUGUGAGCUUGUGAGCUUUCGUACCUGCUAUUGGACAUCAAAGCUCCAUUAAAAACAUAAAAAAUAAAAAUCAAAACUAAGAAACCUAAACAAAAUAUGUGCAAAAGUAUUAAAAAUGCAAAGUAAACAAGAAUGUAAUACUAAAAUUAAAACAAAAAGAGAUGAGCACUUAGCUUUUCAUGCUAAGCUCAUCAACUUAC